RNAcentral lists this ribosomal RNA (498 nucleotides) under uncultured bacterium. RNAcentral describes it as "partial 16S ribosomal RNA". It matches the Rfam family "Bacterial small subunit ribosomal RNA", at positions 30 to 523 of the family's 1533-position model. The record is from RNAcentral.
AUUGAACGCUGGCGGCAUGCCUUACACAUGCAAGUCGAACGGUAACAGGUCUUCGGAUGCUGACGAGUGGCGAACGGGUGAGUAAUACAUCGGAACGUGCCCGAGAGUGGGGGAUAACGAAGCGAAAGCUAUGCUAAUACCGCAUACGAUCUCAGGAUGAAAGCAGGGGACCGCAAGGCCUUGCGCUCACGGAGCGGCCGAUGGCAGAUUAGGUAGUUGGUGGGAUAAAAGCUUACCAAGCCGACGAUCUGUAGCUGGUCUGAGAGGACGACCAGCCACACUGGGACUGAGACACGGCCCAGACUCCUACGGGAGGCAGCAGUGGGGAAUUUUGGACAAUGGGCCCAAGCCUGAUCCAGCCAUGCCGCGUGCAGGAUGAAGGCCUUCGGGUUGUAAACUGCUUUUGUACGGAACGAAAAGACUCUGGUUAAUACCUGGGGUCCAUGACGGUACCGUAAGAAUAAGCACCGGCUAACUACGUGCCAGCAGCCGCGGUAA